UAUGAAUCAACACUAAGAGCAAGUGAGUCUGUAAUGUUCUUUAAUGUUAACCACACUAAUUCUAUCAUAUAUGUGACACAUUUACAUGAUGAGCUGUUGUCUCAAAGCAGAGUGGAUGUGGAGGGUAAUAAUUGGAGUGGCUGCUUGUGGCGUAGCAUCUGGUGUUGUCCUGCUGCUUCCUUUAGUUCCCAGACUGCUGCGAAGAGCUGGUUCACCAGCAGGAGCUGAGGCAGUGGAAGAAGACGAAGGUGGAGACCAUUCUCAAAAUGAAGACCAUGAACUUUACCAUUUAUACUCCGUCAUCACUGAGGAUCCAGCUGCACAGAAAACUCACCAAAGGUGAGGAGACGUAGAAGGACGACCCUCGCUGUGCUCUCUCUCUCACACACACACACACACACACACACACACACACACACAC
This is a long non-coding RNA of Betta splendens (Siamese fighting fish), 421 nucleotides long. RefSeq lists it as uncharacterized. The transcript is spliced from 3 exons. The record is from RefSeq and is a predicted model, not a curated record. NCBI's taxonomy places the organism in Eukaryota, Metazoa, Chordata, Actinopteri, Anabantiformes, Osphronemidae.